Molecule: ribosomal RNA, 497 nt
Filed under: uncultured bacterium
Lineage: Bacteria
Description: partial 16S ribosomal RNA
Rfam family: Bacterial small subunit ribosomal RNA
Source: RNAcentral
GAUGAACGCUGGCGGCGUGCCUAAUACAUGCAAGUCGAGCGAACAGACGAGGAGCUUGCUCCUCUGACGUUAGCGGCGGACGGGUGAGUAACACGUGGAUAACCUACCUAUAAGACUGGGAUAACUUCGGGAAACCGGAGCUAAUACCGGAUAAUAUAUUGAACCGCAUGGUUCAAUAGUGAAAGACGGUUUUGCUGUCACUUAUAGAUGGAUCCGCGCCGCAUUAGCUAGUUGGUAAGGUAACGGCUUACCAAGGCAACGAUGCGUAGCCGACCUGAGAGGGUGAUCGGCCACACUGGAACUGAGACACGGUCCAGACUCCUACGGGAGGCAGCAGUAGGGAAUCUUACGCAAUGGGCGAAAGCAUGACGGAGCAACGCCGCGUGAGUGAUGAAGGUCUUCGGAUCGUAAAACUCUGUUAUGAGGGAAGAACAAAUGUGUAAGUAACUAUGCACGUCUUGACGGUACCUAAUCAGAAAGCCACGGCUAACUACGUG